This 380-nucleotide ribosomal RNA is filed under the name uncultured bacterium. RNAcentral describes it as "bacterial SSU rRNA". It matches the Rfam family "Bacterial small subunit ribosomal RNA", at positions 28 to 409 of the family's 1533-position model. The record is from RNAcentral.
GACGAACGCUGGCGGCGUGCUUAACACAUGCAAGUCGAACGCUGAAGCCCGCUUGCGGGUGGAUGAGUGGCGAACGGGUGAGUAACACGUGAGUAACCUGCCCUUCACUUUGGGAUAACCUUCGGAAACGGGGGCUAAUACUGGAUAUGACUCAUGGCCGCAUGGUUGUGGGUGGAAAGAUUCUUUGGUGGGGGAUGGGCUCGCGGCCUAUCAGCUUGUUGGUGGGGUGAUGGCCUACCAAGGCGACGACGGGUAGCCGGCCUGAGAGGGCGACCGGCCACACUGGGACUGAGACACGGCCCAGACUCCUACGGGAGGCAGCAGUGGGGAAUAUUGCACAAUGGGCGCAAGCCUGAGUGCAGCGACGCCGCGUGGGGGAU